Grammomys surdaster is the source of this 425-nucleotide non-coding RNA. NCBI's taxonomy places the organism in Eukaryota, Metazoa, Chordata, Mammalia, Rodentia, Muridae. The record is from the annotation of a RefSeq genome assembly.
GUAUUCAGUCUGAAACAGGACAAAGGACAGUCAUGAAGGCUCCAGUUCAACUCCUAGGGCUGCUGUUGCUCUGGUUCCCAGGCAUGAGAUGUGAUAUACAGAUGACUCAGUCUCCAUCCACCCUGUCUGCAUCUGUGGGAGCCAGAGUUGCCAUGAACUGCAGGGCAAGUCAGGGUGUUAGCAAUUACUUACACUGGUACCAGCAAAAACAAGGAGAAGCUCCCACACUCCUGAUAUAUAAUGCAAAGAGUUUGCAAUCGGGCAUCCCAUCAAGGUUCAGUGGAAGUGGAUCUGGCACUGAUUUCACACUCACCAUCAACGGUCUGCAGUCUGAAGAUGUUGCCACGUAUUUUUGCCAGCAGGGUUACAGUGGAUACCACUGUGAUAUAAGUCAUAACAUAAACCACCCAGAGAUGCAAAAGUGA